GGGCAGGAAACAAGUUAGAUUUAUUAGAAGAUUUCUUAGUAGGAGCUUGUAGUAGCACUGAAAGAAGAUCUGGGCAUAAAUGACUUCUCUGGGAAAUAGCUGCUAAACUUGCACCUGAAGCAUCACCUCGCGUAAACAUGUUUCUAACAUUUUUCUAUUAAUAUUCCCAGUCGGACAGGAAACGCGUGGAUCUGCUUGGAUGAUGAGGAAGAUGAAGUGUUCCUGGGGACUCUUCAGGGGAGGCAGCAGCAAGGGGGAGAAAACGGCUGGUGAAAAUGCAAGGAUGCUUCCCAAGACUGCCCAGGAGGAGAGAAACAAGCAGGAAGCAAAGAAGAGAGGAAAACUGAAAAAUGUGACAAGAAAAUUGCUAAAGACUAUGGCUAGUGGGAAACGAGCAGCUGAAAAAAAGCCUGAAAAUGAGAAUUUGGCAGGGAGUUUGCUGAAGCUUGCAACGGGUAGGAAGGAAGUAGAAGGAAAGAAGUCUGCAGAGGAAACCAUCUGUGGAUUCAUUGAGCAAGGGAAAUUUUUUCAAGCUUGUAAACAUAUUUAUAAUCUGGAGCAUUCUGGAAGUGAUGGUGUGGGAAAGUCUGAAACACUUUAUACACUACUGGCUGAACAGAUGUGGUCCAUUGUGGGAAAAGCGUUCAGUGGAAGCGACAGGAUGUUACUGGAGCCGUUGCARUCAGUGGGCGAAUCGCUGAAGUGGGAGAAGCAGAAAGAAGAGGAGUGGUUUGGUAGCGGCCAAGCGAUGGAGCCUCUUUCCACCUGGAGUCCAAGAUUCUGGAAGAAAGACCUGGAGGAAAAGCUAAUAAAGUACAUGACAGCCCAGAUUCCCCCCUUCGGUUCCACUAGUAACACAGAUGAGACUGCAUUAAAACAGCAUCUGAGUCAACUGGAACUGAUGUUUCUGCCCAGCCUGGAGUGCAAAACUGGUCUCUUCGAGGAAGCAGGCCUGCUUGUCACGUACACCCGGUGCUCUCAUGCCUGCUUGUCUUCUCAUCUUUCCACCCUUACUGACAAUAACCAUGUUAGCUUCAACCAAUGCCUUUUAGUUUAUGAAUGGUGCCUUAAAAUGUACAAAAGUGGCAAUGGGACAUUGCUGGGACCCAGCCAGACCUCAUGCCACCACCUUUCCCUUGAYGCACAGUGCCUCAGGUGGAUUAUUUUGAAGACAGAGG
This is a long non-coding RNA of Dromaius novaehollandiae (emu), 1178 nucleotides long. The record is from Ensembl. Lineage: Eukaryota; Metazoa; Chordata; Aves; Casuariiformes; Dromaiidae.